GGGAAAAAGGGGGGGGGUCUAUUAUGUUUUUUUUUCAUACAGGAGGAAGACGUCAAAGCAAAAAAAAAAAAACCAACAAAACAAAAUAAAAUAAUAGCCUGUCAAGACGUCCUUAUAUCAUAAAAAUUUGGUCUAAUUUUGGGAUAAUACAUUUAACUUCCUUUGAUGUCGGGGAGGGGAUAAGUUUUGACGAUUAAUUAUUCUUGAAACUAACAAUAAUUAUUUCUUAUUGUUACUUUGUUAAGCGAGCGCGAUGUGUGGU
Molecule: long non-coding RNA, 262 nt
Filed under: Mytilus galloprovincialis (Mediterranean mussel)
Lineage: Eukaryota; Metazoa; Mollusca; Bivalvia; Mytilida; Mytilidae
Source: RNAcentral